UAUGUAGGUGGCAAGCGUUGUCCGGAUUUACUGGGCGUAAAGCGCGCGUAGGCGGCUUUGCAAGUCGGGUGUGAAAUCCCCAGGCUUAACCUGGGAACUGCAUUCGAGACUGCAUUGCUAGAGUAUGGGAGAGGGAAGUGGAAUUUCCGGUGUAGCGGUGAAAUGCGUAGAUAUCGGAAGGAACAUCAGUGGCGAAAGCGACUUCCUGGACCAAUACUGACGCUCAUGUGCGAAAGCGUGGGGAGCAAACAGG
Molecule: ribosomal RNA, 253 nt
Filed under: uncultured bacterium
Lineage: Bacteria
Description: partial 16S ribosomal RNA
Rfam family: Bacterial small subunit ribosomal RNA
Source: RNAcentral